RNAcentral lists this long non-coding RNA (301 nucleotides) under Mytilus galloprovincialis (Mediterranean mussel). The record is from RNAcentral. Lineage: Eukaryota; Metazoa; Mollusca; Bivalvia; Mytilida; Mytilidae.
UGAUUAGGAAUUGUUUUGAUACACAACUAAUAUUAUUCAAAAUAAAUAUCAAUAACAGUUGCUAUGGAAACACAUUACAAAGAACAUUGCAGUUGGCUUCAGACCACAAUUAAUUCCCUUUUUCCAUGGUCUUUGAAUAUAGUUCCCAAUUAUCAUAUGGGGUAUUUCUUCCUAAGUAUUCUGGCUACUGUUUUCUUUGAAAUGCUUACUAUUUAAGUGGUCCUAUCAGUUGCAUAUAUAUAUAUAUUGAAAUAAGUAAAACAUGUGAAAAAAAUAUUGUUUAAAGUGAAAGUAGUGAUUU